AGUGAACGCUGGCGGUAUGCCUAACACAUGCAAGUCGAACGGCAGCACAGUAAGAUCUUGCUCUUACGGGUGGCGAGUGGCGGACGGGUGAGGAAUACAUCGGAAUCUACUUUUUCGUGGGGGAUAACGGAGGGAAACUGACGCUAAUACCUCAUACGACCUACGGGUGAAAUCAGGGGAUCUUCGGACCUUUCGCGAUUGAAUGAACCGAUGUCGGAUUAGCUAGUUGGCGGGGUAAAGGCCCACCAAGGCGACGAUCCGUAGCUGGUCUGAGAGGAUGAUCAGCCACACUGGAACUGAGACACGGUCCAGACUCCUACGGGAGGAAGAAGUGGGGAAUAUUGGACAAUGGGCGCAAGCCUGAUCCAGCCAUACCGCGUGGGUGAAGAAGGCCUUCGGGUUGUAAAGCCCGUUUGUUGGGAAAGAAAAGCAGCAGGUUAAUACGCCGAUGUUCUGACGGUACCCACAGAAUAAGCACCGGCUAACUUCGUG
This 492-nucleotide ribosomal RNA is filed under the name uncultured bacterium. RNAcentral describes it as "partial 16S ribosomal RNA". It matches the Rfam family "Bacterial small subunit ribosomal RNA", at positions 29 to 507 of the family's 1533-position model. The record is from RNAcentral.